RNAcentral lists this ribosomal RNA (583 nucleotides) under uncultured bacterium. Its description in RNAcentral is "partial 16S ribosomal RNA". It matches the Rfam family "Bacterial small subunit ribosomal RNA", at positions 355 to 1375 of the family's 1533-position model. The record is from RNAcentral.
CUAAGAAUAUUCCGCAAUGGACGGAAGUCUGACGGAGCGACGCCGCGUGGAUGACGAGGGCCGAAAGGUUGUAAAGUUCUUUUGCUGGGGAAGAAUAACCGCAGGAGGGAAUGCCUGUGGGAUGACAAGAACCGGCGAAUAAGCCCCGGCCAACUACGUGCCAGCAGCCGCGGUAACACGUAGGGGGCGAGCGUUGUUCGGAAUUACUGGGCGUAAAGGGCAUGUAGGCGGCUUGGAAAGCCUGGCGUGAAAGUCUGCAGCUUAACUGCAGGGGUGCGCUGGGAACUGCUGAGCUUGAGUGACGGAGAGGGAGCUGGAAUUCCUGGUGUAGGGGUGAAAUCUGUAGAUAUCAGGAAGAACACCGAUGGCGAAGGCAAGCUCCUGGCCGAUGACUGACGCUGAGGUGCGAAAGUGUGGGGAUCAAACAGGAUUAGAUACCCUGGUAGUCCACACAGUCAACGAUGUGCACUAGGUGCUGGGGCGGUAGCUUCGGUGCCGGAGCGAACGUGGUAAGUGCACCGCCUGGGGAGUAUGCUCGCAAGGGUGAAACUAAAAGGAAUUGACGGGGUCAUAGCUGUUUCCU